GUGCUCGCUUCGGCAGCACAUAUACUAAAAUUGGAACGAUACAGAGAAGAUUAGCAUGGCCCCUGGGCAAGGAUGGAGGUCAGGGAGGAGAGGAGUUGCUAUGAAGA
Small nuclear RNA from Hyaena hyaena (striped hyena), 107 nucleotides. Lineage: Eukaryota; Metazoa; Chordata; Mammalia; Carnivora; Hyaenidae. The record is from RefSeq and is a predicted model, not a curated record.